GCUUACGGCCAUACCACCCUGAACACUCCCGAUCUCGUCUGAUCUCGGCAGCAAACCAGGGUCGGGCCUGGUCAGUACUUGGAGUGGAGACAUCCUGGGAAUACCAGGUGCUGUAAGCU
Molecule: ribosomal RNA, 119 nt
Organism: Sphaeramia orbicularis (orbiculate cardinalfish)
Lineage: Eukaryota; Metazoa; Chordata; Actinopteri; Kurtiformes; Apogonidae
Source: Ensembl